This 428-nucleotide small RNA is filed under the name Histoplasma capsulatum. Its description in RNAcentral is "hypothetical RNA". The record is from RNAcentral. RNAcentral also lists the same sequence under 1 other name. Lineage: Eukaryota; Fungi; Ascomycota; Eurotiomycetes; Onygenales; Ajellomycetaceae.
UGUGCAUUGAAUUCAAGCUUUCAGACUAGGCUAGCUUGGGAAAGAUUGAUAUCUGAAGCUGCCUAUAUCUCUUCUCGAAUAUAUUUCGAACUUGGAUCCGUCAACUGUGCCAUGUUUUUUGCCAGGUGUGCUGUUAAACUCAACAACAGAAUAUGGGCAAAAUUAGACAGAAUCUCGGAGAUGAAGCGAUGUAAAACCCUUGAUACUUCCGACUCAGAUAUCGAUGAUCUCUCCAACAAGGUCAAUGUGAUCAGCUUAACAUCAGAUGGUGGCGGCACACGGGAUAACUACCGUGAGGGCUCGUUGUAUUGGCCGCUUUUUACUUCACAUUACAUCGGACUUGUCAACCUGUCCAGGCUUUCCGCUCACAAUGGCCUUUUUCAGGAUUGCAUCUAUUUUGGGGAGCAGGCGUUAAAAAUUUGCAAGGC